GUUUGUUGGUGCGGCAAACACGCUGGUAGACAAGGUGGAGGUGGUCAGGUAACUGCGCAGCCUUCCUCUACAUUCAUAUCAAGUUCGGCUCUAUCUUUCCUUGGUACGCACAUCAUGGCUUCCAACGCGGUUUUUGCUAUUGUGUGUUUAAUUGGUGGACAGUAUCUACUCUUGACUGAGGGAGCAUCCUCUGAGCUGGCCGCUAGAAAGAACAGUAUAUCUGCUUCAAUUACUAAAGACGAGUUUGAGAAGCUGGACACGACCUUGAUGGACGUGGUCAGUACGACUCACAUCUUU
Haliotis rubra (blacklip abalone) is the source of this 297-nucleotide long non-coding RNA. RefSeq lists it as uncharacterized. The record is from RefSeq and is a predicted model, not a curated record. The transcript has 4 exons. NCBI's taxonomy places the organism in Eukaryota, Metazoa, Mollusca, Gastropoda, Lepetellida, Haliotidae.